CGAGGGGUAGGGGGUGCUUGCACCCCUGAGACCGGCGCACGGGUGCGGAACGCGUAUGGAACCUGCCCCUGUCAGGGGAAUAGCCCAGGGAAACUUGGAUUAAUGCCCCAUGGUAUCGGAGCAUCGCAUGAUGUUCCGAUUAAAGAUUUAUCGGACAGGGAUGGCCAUGCGUACCAUUAGCUUGAUGGUGGGGUAACGGCCCACCAUGGCGACGAUGGUUAGGGGCCCUGAGAGGGGGAUCCCCCACACUGGUACUGAGACACGGACCAGACUCCUACGGGAGGCAGCAGUGAGGAAUAUUGGACAAUGGUCGGAAGACUGAUCCAGCCAUGCCGCGUGCAGGAUGACGGCCCUAUGGGUUGUAAACUGCUUUUAUACGGGAAGAAACGCACCUACGUGUAGGUGUCUGACGGUACCGUAAGAAUAAGGACCGGCUAACUCCGUGCCAGCAGCCGCGGUAAUACGGAGGGUCCGAGCGUUAUCCGGAAUCAUUGGGUUUAAAGGGUCCGUAGGCGGGCCUGUAAGUCAGGGGUGAAAGUUUGUGGCUCAACCAUAAAAUUGCCUUUGAUACUGCAGGUCUUGAGUCAUGGUGGGGUUGCCGGAACAUGUGGUGUAGCGGUGAAAUGCAUAGAUAUCACAUAGAACACCGAUCGCGAAGGCAGGUGACCAACCAUGUACUGACGCUGAUGGACGAAAGCGUGGGUAGCGAACGGGAUUAGAUACCCCGGUAGUCCACGCCGUAAACGAUGGAUACUAGCUGUGGGGGGCGCAAGCCUCCGUGGGCCAAGCGAAAGUGAUAA
This 800-nucleotide ribosomal RNA is filed under the name Allomuricauda sp. Its description in RNAcentral is "bacterial SSU rRNA". It matches the Rfam family "Bacterial small subunit ribosomal RNA", at positions 63 to 863 of the family's 1533-position model. Lineage: Bacteria; Pseudomonadati; Bacteroidota; Flavobacteriia; Flavobacteriales; Flavobacteriaceae. The record is from RNAcentral.